AGCGAACGCUGGCGGCAGGCCUAACACAUGCAAGUCGAACGGAUCCUUCGGGAUUAGUGGCGGACGGGUGAGUAACACGUGGGAACGUGCCCUUUGGUUCGGAACAACUCAGGGAAACUUGAGCUAAUACCGGAUGUGCCCUUCGGGGGAAAGAUUUAUCGCCAUUGGAGCGGCCCGCGUCUGAUUAGCUAGUUGGUGAGGUAACGGCCCACCAAGGCGACGAUCAGUAGCUGGUCUGAGAGGAUGAUCAGCCACACUGGGACUGAGACACGGCCCAGACUCCUAAGGGAGGCAGCAGUGGGGAAUCUUGCGCAAUGGGCGAAAGCCUGACGCAGCCAUGCCGCGUGAAUGAUGAAGGUCUUAGGAUUGUAAAAUUCUUUCAGCGGGGACGAUAAUGACGGUACCCGCAGAAGAAGCGCCGGCUAACUUCGUG
RNAcentral lists this ribosomal RNA (433 nucleotides) under uncultured bacterium. RNAcentral's name for it is "partial 16S ribosomal RNA". It matches the Rfam family "Bacterial small subunit ribosomal RNA", at positions 29 to 507 of the family's 1533-position model. The record is from RNAcentral.